Molecule: long non-coding RNA, 3127 nt
Organism: Amphiprion ocellaris (clown anemonefish)
Lineage: Eukaryota; Metazoa; Chordata; Actinopteri; Pomacentridae
Source: Ensembl
GAAUUAGGUACAACGUGCGCACGAAAUACUAAUUUGUGGCCACGAAGUAGGUAUAAUGUGCGCACGAAAUAGUACCUAAUACUAUUAAUAUCAUUCCUGGACAGCUGGGUAAGCAAAUCGAGCGCACCGUCUCUACAACCUGCAAUAAUCUGUGUACGGGGCUCCGCACCCUACGUGAUGUUCCUAAAAGGUCAACUAUGGAUACUCGGCUGUGAGAAUUUUUGAUGGAGCGAAACUUGAAGAUGAGAAUAUGCACAAUGAGGGACGUCUGCAGAGACUGAGAAAGAGUCUCACCACAUCCUGACAUGAGGAAAAAGACUUUAUUGAAGACUACAAUGAGAAAAACUAUCAGACAGCAGACGGCUGCAUUCAAGAGAAGAAGACCAUCAAACAUCCACAUCAGCUGAUGGAGGUCCAAGAGUCUCACCAAACAACCAACCUACAGAGUGAAGACCUCGAAUCUGAUUGGACGGCCUCCUAUUCAGCCACAUGUGUGAACAAAUGCCUCUAAGUUGAUUUGUUUUCUAAAAUAAAUCUAGUUUGAGUCCUAAUCUAUGCCUGUGUGUUUGCUUCUUUACACCGCUGUUAACAGUUUAGGCUGUUAGAUUGUUCCAGAUAAGACAAGUACAAGAUCCUGCAGAGCCGUUCUACCACGAGCCUGACAGGAAGAACUCCAACAGCUACUGAAUGUUCCUGUGGUUCCCUCAAGGCUACAGGAGGAGCCCUACGAGGACGAGCCGGUCCACCUGAUGGAGGCCAGUCGCUGCGGUUCAAAGCCAACACCGACUACGUGGACUUCUACUGGACCACAUGGAGGCCUUCAAACCGGACCAACAAGUUCAGCGACUCCCCGACUCGUGGGUCUGAGGAUGCCGCCGAGCCUCGGUCCAGCCGGCCUCCUGUCUGUGGGUGUUUGAGUGCUGAGAGGUUUGUGGAUGCAUGUGAACGUUCUGUGUUGAAACAGCAGCUUUGGACUCAGUAACGCCGGGAAAAACCAAGAGCUCCUUUAUUUGUGACUUCCACUAAAAAACUGAUGAAAAUAAGUUUGUCAGGGUUCUGACUGAUAACAGAUUAUUAAAUAAUGAAAAUAAUCAUUUAAAUAUUCCUUUAAACAAUCCUUUUAGGUCUACAUUUCCUUUACACUGACUUCUUGGUAUAUGUACAAGUAUUUUGGGUGGAAUAUACCAUUAAGCCCAAUGUUCAAGGGUUCUUCUGGGAAUAUACCAUUAAACCAACCUUUUAGGUAAAUGUUCCAAGAUGUUGGGUAGAAUAUACCAUCAGAUCAACCUUUUAGGUCUACACUGGAAGAUUUUAGAGUAGAAUAUUACUCCAAACCAUCCUUUAGCUCUACAUUUAAGGUGGAAUACUCCUUUACACCAAGAUUUUUUGGUCUACAUUGAAGGAUUUUGGAUGGAAUAUUCCUUUGAACGAACUUUUUAGGUUUAUGUUCAAGGAUGUUGGGUGGAAUAUACCAUCAGAUCAACCUCCAAGGUCUACAGUAGUGAAUUUUAGGUGGAAUAUACCAUUAAACUCACCUUUUAGGUCUACAUUUUAGGAUUUUAGGUGGAAUUUUCUUCCAAACCGUCUUUUAGUCUACAUUUAAGGAUGUUUAGGAUGGUAUAUUCUUCCGAACCAAUUUCUCAGGUCUACGUUUCAGGUGGAAUAUUCCUCCAUACUAACUUUUUGGUCUACAUUGAAGGAUCUUUUCUAAACCACUCUUUCGGGUCUAUAUUUGAGGUUUUAGGUGGAAUAUUCCUUUUAACCAGCCCCUCAGGUCUCUGAGGAUUUUGGAUGGAAUACUCGGUUAAACCAACAUUUUGGAUACAUGUCCAAGGAUUUUUGGUGGAAUGUUCCUUUAAGGUGGAUGUUUGAGGACCUUGUAGGUGGAAAACUUCCUGAAACCAACCUUUUAGGUCAACAUUCAAAGAUUUAAGGUGGAGUAUUCCUUUAAACCAACCUAAAUUUCAUGUUUUGAUCAUUAUCAAGUGAGAAACCUCAAUCCAGACUCCUCAUAAUGACGUUUGAGAUUUAUGCUGCUGUUAUUUGUUUAGUCCAGACUAAAUGACAGAAAUCCACAACUGUAAUUUUAUUUCAGGACUCGGUUAUUAAAUGUCAAAACAAUCCAUGUGACUCUAAAAACUCAACAGCUUUACAAACUCUAAGAUUAAACUCUCCACAAGGAUCCAAAAUAAGCUGGACUUCUACAUGAGAGCUUUAAUUAUUCUUCAUCUACUUCCUGAAAAGUUUGGUCAAUAAAAAAGACAAAAACUAGUAUUUUCAGCUGAACUAAAGACAGACUUUGUGAUUUUUCUGCUCACAUGUUGUGUUGUUGUAAACUUCCUCUUUCAAAUAAAUACCCACCUAACCCCCUGGAAACCAGCAUUUGUCCUGUUUUUGUGUUGCUCCUCAGUGACCCUAGACAGCCGGGUCGUAAUGUAUUUUGAGCAACACACCAUACUAUGACGUUUUUACAAUGAUGGUUCUGCUAUGGAACCAGUUUGACAUGUUCAGGCGUUCUUUGUGUGAAAACUCGGAGAUUUCAGGUAUCAGAAGGUGGUUUUCAACUUUCUUUGUUAACUUUCUGCCUCAACUUUAAACUAAAUUUCCUUCACUAACCCAGCCCUCUGGACUUCCAGUAAGCUGUGUUCCUAUUGGCUGUCCCAGUGGCUGCUAGGUAUUAUCAGGAACACCUGAGCAGCUCAGUGUCUUCCUGCUUUAUUUAGCUGCAGACAAACAUUUCCUCUGCUUCUGUUCACCACUGAACCGGGUUUGGCUCCGUUGCUUUAAUUUGUUCUUUAGGCGUUGGCUUGCAGCUUCCAGCAGUAAAAUUGUCUUUAAUGUGUUUCUUGGUGUGUUUUAGGGCUUUGUACUGGAUAGUUGUCUUGGUAAAUGUGGUUCUUUAGCCACAGUUACCACAUGGUGCUACUGUGUGCAGUGAUUAGUGGAUUUGGUGCAGCUGAGUUGUGUCUUUAUCUUGGCUGUAGUGAGUCUUCAGAGGUUUUUGGUCAGACACAUUCUGUAUUCUUGUUUGAGAACCAUCGUUGGUUGUCCAGAAGGUAAGAGUUCAUGUCCUGAUUCUCUGUUCUCAGAGGUUCUCUGGUAGGCUGCAGGACACUUUAGCGUUUGG